RNAcentral lists this unclassified non-coding RNA (306 nucleotides) under plant metagenome. RNAcentral describes it as "partial contains 5.8S ribosomal RNA, internal transcribed spacer 2, and large subunit ribosomal RNA". The stretch from base 1 to 105 matches the Rfam family "5.8S ribosomal RNA", at positions 50 to 154 of the family's 154-position model. The record is from RNAcentral.
GAAAUGCGAUAAGUAGUGUGAAUUGCAGAAUUCAGUGAAUCAUCGAAUCUUUGAACGCACAUUGCGCCCCUUGGUAUUCCAUGGGGCAUGCCUGUUCGAGCGUCAUUUGUACCCUCAAGCUCUGCUUGGUGUUGGGUGUUUGUCCCGUCUCCGCGCGUGGACUCGCCCCAAAGUGAUUGGCAGCCGGCGUACUGGUCCCGGAGCGCAGCACAUGUCGCGCAAACGAGUGCCUUGGUACGGCGGCGUCCAUAAGCCCCUCUCUCACGCUCUUGACCUCGGAUCAGGUAGGGAUACCCGCUGAACUUA